GACGAACGCUGGCGGCGUGCUUAACACAUGCAAGUCGAACGGAAAGGCCCUGCUUUUGUGGGGUGCUCGAGUGGCGAACGGGUGAGUAACACGUGAGUAACCUGCCCUUGACUUUGGGAUAACUUCAGGAAACUGGGGCUAAUACCGGAUAGGAGCUCCUGCUGCAUGGUGGGGGUUGGAAAGUUUCGGCGGUUGGGGAUGGACUCGCGGCUUAUCAGCUUGUUGGUGGGGUAGUGGCUUACCAAGGCUUUGACGGGUAGCCGGCCUGAGAGGGUGACCGGCAACAUGGGGACUGAGUACCGCCCGGGCCCCCGAGGGGGGGCGGGGGGGGGAAAGUUGGCACAAGGGGCGGAGCCCGGAGGCAGAACCCCCGGGUGGGGGAGGGGGGCCUGGGGUUUGAAAACCGCUUCCGCCUGAAAAGAAGGGGGAGGGAGGGAAGGGGAAAAAAAAGACCCGGCAAACUAGGUC
This 468-nucleotide ribosomal RNA is filed under the name uncultured bacterium. RNAcentral's name for it is "partial 16S ribosomal RNA". It matches the Rfam family "Bacterial small subunit ribosomal RNA", at positions 28 to 507 of the family's 1533-position model. The record is from RNAcentral.